AAACACUUAACCUAAUAAGUUAAUUUUUAAUUGUAAAAUAGACCAUCUUCAAUUUUUUGAAGAGCCCUCGUGUGGAGGAAUGCGAUCUCAUGGAAACAGUGGCCUAAAGAAAGUUCUCCUAUUGCUUUUUACUUCCCUUUGCUUGAAAAAAGAUAAACAGCAUAGAAACCUCCAAGAGGCUACCGAGUUCUCUUUGAACUUUUUUCUCUGCAGCUGCGCCUGGAACUGCUCCCUGCUGCACUUUACUACCUCUGUUUAUAAGAGCAACAGUCCCUCUCCUGAAAAUUGGACUGAAUUCCAACAAGUCGGCAACUUGCAUGAAGACAAGGGUCACAGGCGGCUGGAGCCUGUCCCAGCAACUCAGGAUGAAAGGCAUGAACCAGCCUGGGACAGGAGGCCAUCCCAUUGCAAGGGCCUCAUUUUGUUCCCCAGGCUGGAGUGCAGUGGUGUGAUCUCAGCUCACUGGAACCUCCGCCUCCUGAUUUCAAGCGAUUCUCUUGCCUCAGCCUCCUGAGUAGCUGGGACUACAGGUGCGCCUGGCUAAUUUUUGUAUUUUUUGGUAGAGACGGGAUUUCACCAUGUUGGCCAGGCUGGUCUCGAACUCCCAACCUCAAGUGACCUACCCACAUUGGCUUCCCAAAGUGCUAGGAUUACAGAUGUACUGCAGUGCCAUGCUGGGUAUCUUAAAGAACAAGGCAUUGUCCUCUGCAGACACCCAGGCUGCAGACUUCAAGGACUGGAAGAAGAGCUUUGCGUCUUCUCUCUUCUCUAUACAGACACAAUCUGUAGCAGCAAAUGUGUUACAGAUGGACAGAAGCUGGG
RNAcentral lists this long non-coding RNA (822 nucleotides) under Homo sapiens (human). RNAcentral describes it as "HSALNT0350463". The record is from RNAcentral. Lineage: Eukaryota; Metazoa; Chordata; Mammalia; Primates; Hominidae.